Molecule: ribosomal RNA, 692 nt
Filed under: uncultured Alphaproteobacteria bacterium
Lineage: Bacteria; Pseudomonadati; Pseudomonadota; Alphaproteobacteria
Description: bacterial SSU rRNA
Rfam family: Bacterial small subunit ribosomal RNA
Source: RNAcentral
AACGAACGCUGGCGGCAUGCCUAAUACAUGCAAGUCGAACGAGAUCUUCGGAUCUAGUGGCGCACGGGUGCGUAACGCGUGGGAAUCUGCCCUUGGGUUCGGAAUAACGUCGGGAAACUGACGCUAAUACCGGAUGAUGACGAAAGUCCAAAGAUUUAUCGCCCAGGGAUGAGCCCGCGUAGGAUUAGCUAGUUGGUGGGGUAAAGGCUCACCAAGGCUACGAUCCUUAGCUGGUCUGAGAGGAUGAUCAGCCACACUGGGACUGAGACACGGCCCAGACUCCUACGGGAGGCAGCAGUAGGGAAUAUUGGACAAUGGGGGCAACCCUGAUCCAGCAAUGCCGCGUGAGUGAUGAAGGCCUUAGGGUUGUAAAGCUCUUUUACCCGAGAUGAUAAUGACAGUAUCGGGAGAAUAAGCUCCGGCUAACUCCGUGCCAGCAGCCGCGGUAAUACGGAGGGAGCUAGCGUUGUUCGGAAUUACUGGGCGUAAAGCGCACGUAGGCGGCGAUUUAAGUCAGAGGUGAAAGCCCGGGGCUCAACCCCGGAACUGCCUUUGAGACUGGAUUGCUAGAAUCUUGGAGAGGCGGGUGGAAUUCCGAGUGUAGAGGUGAAAUUCGUAGAUAUUCGGAAGAACACCAGUGGCGAAGGCGGCCCGCUGGACAAGUAUUGACGCUGAGGUGCGAAAGCGUGGGG